Molecule: transfer RNA, 74 nt
Filed under: Chlamydiales bacterium
Lineage: Bacteria; Pseudomonadati; Chlamydiota; Chlamydiia; Chlamydiales
Description: tRNA-Arg
Rfam family: tRNA
About the family: Transfer RNA (tRNA) molecules are approximately 80 nucleotides in length. Their secondary structure includes four short double-helical elements and three loops (D, anti-codon, and T loops).
Source: RNAcentral
GUCCUCGUAGCUCAGAUGGAUAGAGCGGCUGCCUCCUAAGCAGCAGGCCGCGCGUUCGAAUCGCGCCGGGGGCA